UACGUAGGGUGCAAGCGUUGUCCGGAAUUACUGGGCGUAAAGAGUUCGUGGGCGGUUUGUCGCGUCGUUUGUGAAAACUCACAGCUCAACUGUGAGCCUGCAGGCGAUACGGGCAGACUUGAGUACUGCAGGGGAGACUGGAAUUCCUGGUGUAGCGGUGAAAUGCGCAGAUAUCAGGAGGAACACCGGUGGCGAAGGCGGGUCUCUGGGCAGUAACUGACGCUGAGGAACGAAAGCGUGGGUAGCAAACAGG
RNAcentral lists this ribosomal RNA (253 nucleotides) under uncultured bacterium. RNAcentral describes it as "partial 16S ribosomal RNA". It matches the Rfam family "Bacterial small subunit ribosomal RNA", at positions 524 to 776 of the family's 1533-position model. The record is from RNAcentral.